GGGGAAGUCUGACACCUUUCUUCCAAGGCCAUGAGUCGUUAGAUCAGCUACUCAUCAAACCACACCCUCAGGGACUCCUUUCAAAUAAUACUGUGUGUGAUCUAAUUGCAGGCAGAUUUUGUAAUUGCAGCCUUGCUUUUCUCCUGGCCUCCAGCUGCACGUGGCUGAUAGGCAUGGCUGCAGGUGGAAGGAGCAGGAGGCCCAUCCACAGUUGGGUUGGAUUUACAAAAUGUGCCCUAAAAUAAGUGCUAGUCCUGGGCUGUAUCAAGUGCUCUUUGGGAUUCUUAUCUUUCUUCAUUAACUAGCAGGAGACUACACAAAGAAGUCACGCUAGAAUCUUAUUUUCAAGGAGGCUGAAGCUCAGUGAGAGGAUUUAAUGAACAUACUGACCAUCUCCUUGAGUAAACCAACUGAUUUAUAUUUUCUGUGUUCAACUGCUUGAAAACAUUCUUCAAGGAAACAACUGUCUAGACAAGAUCACAGUAAAUCCUCUGUUGCACAAGUGGUGGGAAAAGAGGAUGGCCUUGGCAUGAACGAGUCUUUAUUCUGUUGAGAGCUGAAAGGCGUGUUAGACUGGUUAAUGCCAAGUUGGCAGUCAAUCAUUUCAGCCUCACACUUGCUUAAAGAACAAAAAGAACAGCUAAUUACUCCAUGGAAUCAAAAUGACAUUCCCAAGCACUUCCCAAAGGUCAUCAGCAGUGUUGGAUUUUGAAGAGUCACAAGGAAACCUCUGUAACGAGAACAACAAAAAAAAAAACUGGCUGAAGUAAUAUUGUGCCUUUUUAUAUGGAUAAGCUACUGGAAAAUAGCAAAUUUCAAAUAGUUUGCUAAUCAACAGAGAA
This 842-nucleotide long non-coding RNA is filed under the name Numida meleagris (helmeted guineafowl). Its description in RNAcentral is "lncRNA (ENSNMEG00000003782.1)". The record is from RNAcentral. Lineage: Eukaryota; Metazoa; Chordata; Aves; Galliformes; Numididae.